Chiloscyllium plagiosum (whitespotted bambooshark) is the source of this 267-nucleotide non-coding RNA. Lineage: Eukaryota; Metazoa; Chordata; Chondrichthyes; Orectolobiformes; Hemiscylliidae. The record is from RefSeq and is a predicted model, not a curated record.
CAGAUGCUCAAUUAUGGACAGGAAAAGAGCUUGAACCAUGAGAAGAUGACCUUCUGAUAAGGCAUAUUUUUCAAGUUCCCAUGGGUUUUGCUGUAACCACAACUGGCAUACUUGACACUGGGUCCCAUCUUUGAAAGCCUUUGUGCACCCAGAGACUGAUAGUUCAAAGAUGCCCUGAACAGUUUUGCCCCAGAUGAACAAUGAUAAUUAACACGAGAAUCUCGGCAGGUCCAUUGUUUACCAGCAGCAGAUCUCAGUAGUCUUGUG